GCGCCGGCCAACUACGUGCCAGCAGCCGCGGUAAGACGUAGGGCGCGAGCGUUGUCCGGAUUUAUUGGGCGUAAAGAGCUCGUAGGCGGCUUGUCGCGUCGUUCGUGAAAACCUGCAGCUCAACUGCAGGCUUGCGGUCGAUACGGGCAGGCUGGAGUUCGGUAGGGGAGACUGGAAUUCCUGGUGUAGCGGUGAAAUGCGCAGAUAUCAGGAGGAACACCGGUGGCGAAGGCGGGUCUCUGGGCCGAUACUGACGCUGAGGAGCGAAAGCGUGGGGAGCGAACAGGAUUAGAUACCCUGGUAGUCCACGCUGUAAACGUUGGGCGCUAGGUGUGGGGGGCCUCUCCGGUUCUCUGUGCCGCAGCUAACGCAUUAAGCGCCCCGCCUGGGGAGUACGGCCGCA
This 403-nucleotide ribosomal RNA is filed under the name uncultured bacterium. RNAcentral's name for it is "bacterial SSU rRNA". It matches the Rfam family "Bacterial small subunit ribosomal RNA", at positions 490 to 890 of the family's 1533-position model. The record is from RNAcentral.